CCUACGGGAGGCAGCAGUGGGGAAUAUUGCACAAUGGGGGAAACCCUGAUGCAGCGACGCCGCGUGAGUGAAGACGUAUUUCGGUAUGUAAAGCUCUAUCUGUAGGGGAGAAAAUGACGGUACCUGACUAAGAAGCCCCGGCUAACUACGUGGCAGCAGCCGCGGUAAUACGUCGGGGGCAAGCGUUAUCCGGAUUUACUGGGGGUAAAGGGAGCGUAUACGGCAGCGCAAUGCUGUAGUGAAUUCCCAUGGCUUAAACAUGGAACUGCUUUUGAAACGGUGCGGCUAGAGUGCAGUAGAGGUAAGCGGAAUUGCUAGUGUAGCGGUGAAAUGCGUAGAUAUUAGGAGGAACACCAGUGGCGAAGGCGGCUUACUGGACUGUAACUGACGUUGAGGCUCGAAAGCGUGGGGAGCAAACAGGAUUAGAUAUCCGAGUAGUC
This 440-nucleotide ribosomal RNA is filed under the name uncultured bacterium. Its description in RNAcentral is "partial 16S ribosomal RNA". It matches the Rfam family "Bacterial small subunit ribosomal RNA", at positions 338 to 795 of the family's 1533-position model. The record is from RNAcentral.